AUUGAACGCUGGCGGCAUGCUUUCCACAUGCAAGUCGAACGGUAACAGGUCUUCGGAUGCUGACGAGUGGCGAACGGGUGAGUAAUACAUCGGAACGUGCCUAGUAGUGGGGGAUAACUACUCGAAAGAGUAGCUUAUACCGACUGACAUCUAUGUAGUAAAGCAGGGGACUUUCGGGCCUGGCGCUACUAGAGCGGCUGAUGGCGGAUUAGGUAGUUGGUGGGGUAAAGGCUUACCAAGCCUGCGAUCUGUAGCUGGUCUGAGAGGACGACCUGCCACACUGGGACUGAGACACGGACCAGACUCCUACGGGAGGCAGCAGUGGGGAAUUUUGGACAAUGGGCGAAAGCCUGAUCCAGCAAUGCCGCGUGCAGGAUGAAGGCCCUCGGGUUGUAAACUGCUUUUGUACGGAACGAAAAGCCUGGGGCUAAUAUCCCCGGGUCAUGACGGUACCGUAGAAUAAGCACCGGCUAACUACGUGCCAGCCGCCGCGGUAA
This 497-nucleotide ribosomal RNA is filed under the name uncultured bacterium. RNAcentral describes it as "partial 16S ribosomal RNA". It matches the Rfam family "Bacterial small subunit ribosomal RNA", at positions 30 to 523 of the family's 1533-position model. The record is from RNAcentral.